Long non-coding RNA from Coregonus clupeaformis (lake whitefish), 331 nucleotides. RefSeq lists it as uncharacterized. The transcript is spliced from 3 exons. The record is from RefSeq and is a predicted model, not a curated record. NCBI's taxonomy places the organism in Eukaryota, Metazoa, Chordata, Actinopteri, Salmoniformes, Salmonidae.
CUCCGAGUAGUGUUUUGGGGGCGGAGCUACAAGGAGAGGCGGGGCCUUAGGGUGAGUGACAGCCGACCUGGCCAUAGGGAGACACCACUGAAUACUGACGUUGGUACGUUCAGUGGGCUGCGUAUCGGAGAAGUACAGUCUGUAGGAGAGCUGUCCAGGCCAGAGUUUAUCACACACCCACACCGCUACUUCAACCAUAGAGACAAUACCAGCCCAAUAUACCCAGCCAUACCUGCCAACAGUGAGGUGGUGAAGGCUGCCUUUGACGAGCGGAGUCUGUUCCCUAAAGAGCUCCUGGAUGGGAGGACAAGACUAUCCAUGGAGCCAGGAA